This is a long non-coding RNA of Lucilia cuprina (Australian sheep blowfly), 1098 nucleotides long. RefSeq lists it as uncharacterized. The record is from RefSeq and is a predicted model, not a curated record. The transcript has 3 exons. Lineage: Eukaryota; Metazoa; Arthropoda; Insecta; Diptera; Calliphoridae.
UCUUUUUAACUAGAUGUUUUCCAUAUAAAUCUAGUUCCAACUGCAGCACUUUUCUAGCUUACUUUUUACCCCCUAGCUUGAUUUCGUUCAAAUUUCUAUAUUGGUAUUGCUACCUUUUCGUUAGGAUUGCAUUCCAUAUGUCCAGAUUGGUUUUAAAACUAUCUUAUGCUGAAUCCAGUCAAAGCCUAAUUCCGAAUACAGGUUUAUUAGCCAGUGUAGACUUGGCUUCUAUGUGUCGGCGCCAAGUGAGAACCAAAUUAUGUAACGUUAUCAGACUGUGAAAUGUUGACAUGGUUUGGAGUCACUGUUUCUCCAGUUUUUUUAACCACAUAUCCACAAGUCUAAGAAAGUGAUCCAGCUUUUUUGAGCCCACAUGGAACUAAGGAUAGCAGAGUCAAGGUAGAGCAGAGCAAAGGACGGUGACCAAAAAAGGUUCACGGUGACCCCAAAAGGAUCACUAUUAAAAAUCGUUGUCCUCUUCAGAGCAGCGGCGCUGUACAUUCUCAUAAAUUAAAAUGGCGCAGACGUCUAUUGUUCCCAACUACUUCAACAUUACUCAAUAAGAUAUACCUAUGACACACAAGGAAUAGAAGAUCAAAAUGUAUAAUAUUAGAAAAGAGAAUUCUAGUCGUUUCCUAAAUGUUUGUUACCAUUAUAAGGCUUCAAUACUUUAAAUGGAUUUUCAUUAAAAAUAAGACCUAAAUUUUGCACAAAAUGAAAUCUUUUCAACAAAAGUCUAUGAUCUAAUGAAAACGAAAUGAAAAUAUUUAACAAGUUGUGAAAUCAUAAUAGCCUGCCAAGACAACACCUGAAUUUUUGGUGGAUGGUGAUUGUUGGUACUUGUAUUGAUAAAAUCUAGGAUAUUUGAGUAUACACAAACCAACAUUGUAAUUUUUUUUAUAUAAUAUUGAAGAAUAUCUCAACUUUAUUCUCGCAAAGAAAAAUCAUCGAAAAAUAUAAACAAUUUUAUUAGAUUAUUAAUGAUUCUGCAAUUUAAUUCUAAUUGUAAUAAUUUUUAAUUUUAGUUGUUCAUGUUGUUUUUGUUACUGCUCAUUUACAGAACAAAAACAAACAUUCGAUAAAAAGCAGAUUUGGGGA